GAUUGUAAAGCACUUUAAGUUGGGAGGAAGGGCAGUAAGUUAAUACCUUGCUGUUUUGACGUUACCAACAGAAUAAGCACCGGCUAACUUCAUGCCAGCAGCCGCGGUAAU
This 111-nucleotide ribosomal RNA is filed under the name uncultured bacterium. Its description in RNAcentral is "partial 16S ribosomal RNA". It matches the Rfam family "Bacterial small subunit ribosomal RNA", at positions 421 to 524 of the family's 1533-position model. The record is from RNAcentral.